RNAcentral lists this ribosomal RNA (119 nucleotides) under Helianthus annuus (common sunflower). The record is from RNAcentral. Lineage: Eukaryota; Viridiplantae; Streptophyta; Magnoliopsida; Asterales; Asteraceae.
GGUUGCGAUCCAUACCAGCACUAAUGCACCGGAUCCAUCAGAACUCCGCAGUUAAGCGUGCUUGGGCGAGAGUAGUACUAGGAUGGGUGACCCCAUGGGAAGUCCUCGUGUUGCAACCC